Molecule: long non-coding RNA, 2805 nt
Filed under: Fragaria vesca (wild strawberry)
Lineage: Eukaryota; Viridiplantae; Streptophyta; Magnoliopsida; Rosales; Rosaceae
Description: long non-coding RNA (FVES_LNC002479)
Source: RNAcentral
UUGCUCCUUCAGCAGCGGCAUAUCUCUUCAUGAUGUCAACCACUUCUGGCUUCAUAAUCUCUUCCUUAUUAGAUGUGUUGCAGAGAUAAUAUAGUGAUCCAAUUGCAUAGUUCACGGUGUUUCUAACAGGCAGUGGCGGAUCUACAUACAACGUUGGUGGGGCUCAAGCCCAACCAAGAUUUUCAAAAUAAAGUUUUCAUCAUAUACGGCCAUAUCAUAUCAUCAGCUGUAGCAGGAGUGGCUUAGGUAUUUUGUCAAUGUCAAGACCACCCCAGUUCGAACUAGACAAUGGUCAUACAAUAGUCUUCUUUUUCUUCUUUCUACCCAAACUGGUUGUCUUCUUUUCUCUUCUUUCUACCCACACUGGUUUUUUCUCCUUUCUCCCCUAGCACAUUAGCCUUAAACUGGAGAAGGGGCUUCGUUUUUUUCUUUCUUUCUUGGGUCAAACUGGAAUAUAAUGACCUUCUCUUCUGUGUAGUUGGUCUCUACUUUGGGUGAUAAUUUUUUUUCUUAAGAUGUUAUGUCUUUUUUCUAUGUAGGUUGCAAAGAAACAUUAAUUUGUUGUACUUUUUAUUUUCAUAUGAGAUUCUCACUUUCAUUGAAUUGAUUAAACAGAAGUGCAGACAAGUUCUUAAUUUUUGUGUCUCAAAAUAGUGUACGUAUAAAGGUAUAAUAUAUUUUUGUUUAAAAUUGGUAUAUUAUAAAUUUUUUUAUCAAACAAAAAAGAAAAUUCAAGUCCACCCGGUUCAUGAAUCCUGGAUCCGCCACUGCUAACAGGGCUUGAUAGACAUUGAAUAACAAGGGGUAUCCCACCACUCUGGGUGACAAUUGCUGCAUUGGCUGGAUCAGGGCAACAGUUGCAGAUUCCGCCUACCCCAAAUUCCAGAAGCUUCUCAUUUGGUUCUGUUAUGCGGUCCAGAAAAAGUUCCACCACAUUGAGCUGGCGCAAAUAGGUAUAGUUGUAAGGAUCAUAAGCAAAGUUCGCCAGAUUAGCAACAAUCUUCUCUUUUGAUUCUUCACUGGUAGUACUCUGAAAUUGAGUCACCACUUCCUGAAGGUAUUGUAGCCUUGAAGUACCAUAUCUUCCAGUUCGCUCUUCUUGCCUCCUAUCAUUGGUAAACAUCUGUUGAGUUGGUGAACCUCACUGACCUUUUGCUCAGUAAAGUCCUUGCUUAGUCAUGCUCAGUAAAGCCCUUGCUUAGUCACGUAAGUCUGAACACGAUUGCCUGAAACAAAUGAAUUUGGUUAGCAUGCAAGCCUAACUAUAUAAAGAGGCUUUUGAGUCUAGUUAAGGAUGAACUCUGCCCAAGUGGAUUUUUCGAACUCAAAACAUCAAAUAGAUUAGAAUCAACAAACUACAUAAGGAGCAAAGAAAUACAAUUCAAUUCCAAUGAAGCGAUAACUAGUAUGUAACGUAAUUAAGUUGUUUUUUAACACUAGUGCCUACCUAAAAGACCUUCUAUACAACCCAGUAUGGCAUACAAGCCUUGAUUGGGUAAUCAUCUUUGGUUACUGAGGUCAUUUUUUCAUGCAACAGUUGCAGCAAUCAUCAAUUAUGAUCUGACAAUAUCUAUACAUGAUGGAACUACAUGUACAACGGGAUCCAACAAAAUGAAUACAGCACAGCAAUCCCAAACUGGGCCCAAGUCUGAAUGUUUAACACUUGAUUAAAUGCGCCUGUUCAAGCCUUCACCGCAUGGACACUUAAAGGUGCCUGCUCUCAGUGCAUGUUCUCACUUGAAAUUUCCAUUUCUAUCCUAAGGGCAAUUUUCCUGACAUAUCUCCCCAGAUUGUCUAUGGGAGCCUGGGAGGUAUCGCCCGAGCAACAACCAAUAUCCACCCAACUAAACCCCACUUCUUUUCUAAAUCUCCUAUCUAUCAUAGAGUUCCUUAUGUUGGAACCGAGAUAAAUAGAGUUCCUUAUGUUGGCGCCAGUCUCCCAUUCCCGUUCUCUGCAUACAAGUUUAACAACAACACAUAAGAACCUGGUUUACUUGGCCCAAAUCCCAUCAAAACGUCUGCUGCUCACUGAACCCAAGAAAGCUUUGCAACAGAGAACACCAUGUCUGUCCUUAAGUCCCAAUACUAAACUAUUCUAGAGGAGAUGGUUCUGUCUAAUUACCGUUCACCAUUUAUUGAAAGACCUGAAGGCCAACCUCAACCCCUCCCUUUCUAACCACAUGCAGUCGGUAAAGAAAGAAAUAUGACUGAAUCAGGUCUCAUCCCUUCUUUUACCAUCUCCUUGUAUAUUUCUGUCACAGAGUUAUAUGCAGAGAGUACUGCAGCUGAAGCAAAUUGAUUUCUAUGAGGUCUGACACUCGAACACUCUUUGGGACUCGUAAAUGCUUCCUCACUUUGCAUACAUAUCUAGUCAUACCUUAGAUCAUUCAAUAGUCCAAGCUUUAUCAGAAAAUAGUGACAUUUGUUGGCUGUACUUGAGUGAAAUAACCUGAGCACGACCAAUUGCACCUUAAGAGACGACCAAAUGCAUAAAUCUUUGGCUUAAGUUCCAUAAAUGCUAAUAAGAAUGUCUUUACUGCAUCCUAACAAGCAUAACCUGACUUCAGGUAUGGUUUCUCUAUGGUUCAACUCAUCAAAAACCAUGACAGGGUCAAGCAUGGGCUCAAAAUACGCAUAUAGGGUCAAGGAUAGACUCAAAAUAAGCAUAUAGGGUCAAGGAUGACUCAAAAUUAGCAUAUAAAAGCUAUUGCAAACAUUAUGCUUUGGCAGAAAGCCAGUCAUAAUGCAAAAGCUGUAGAUCAUCUGCCUUCUUCAUCCAACUUCACAGUCGAUAUAGCGGAUUAG